This 79-nucleotide transfer RNA is filed under the name Candidatus Bathyarchaeota archaeon. RNAcentral describes it as "tRNA-Ser". The record is from RNAcentral. Lineage: Archaea; Thermoproteati; Candidatus Bathyarchaeota.
GGGUUUGCUGACCCCCUUAGGGAAUGAAGAUGGUCUGGAGACCCGUAGGUCGCCGGUUCAAAUCCGGCCAGCCCCACCA